UGACAGUUUAAUCCUGAGUCAUCCUAAACACAGGGGUCAAAAGGAUGAAUUAUACAGUAACCAUAUUCAUGUAGGUUCUGAGUUUUGCGAUUGUGACUCUUUGACCUAUCCGAACGUCAGGUACCAUUGCUAGAUGAUCACUUCGAUUAGUACAGGAAUUGGUUCCUGUGCUACCGGCUUAGGUUCGAACCUGCGGGGUCACACACAUUAGAGAUUCCUAUCUGAUCUGAUGGCUGAUGUAGAAUCCUACAUGUUUAAAACUCGAUGAUCGAGAAUCAGGAUUCUCUGAUCAU
This 293-nucleotide long non-coding RNA is filed under the name Elaeis guineensis (African oil palm). RNAcentral's name for it is "long non-coding RNA (EGUI_LNC035323)". Lineage: Eukaryota; Viridiplantae; Streptophyta; Magnoliopsida; Arecales; Arecaceae. The record is from RNAcentral.